RNAcentral lists this transfer RNA (74 nucleotides) under Winogradskyella eximia. RNAcentral describes it as "tRNA-Arg". It matches the Rfam family "tRNA". From Rfam's summary of the family: Transfer RNA (tRNA) molecules are approximately 80 nucleotides in length. Their secondary structure includes four short double-helical elements and three loops (D, anti-codon, and T loops). The record is from RNAcentral. Lineage: Bacteria; Pseudomonadati; Bacteroidota; Flavobacteriia; Flavobacteriales; Flavobacteriaceae. RNAcentral also lists the same sequence under 4 other names.
GGCCUCGUAGCAUAACUGAAUAGUGCACCACAUUACGGCUGUGGAGGUUGAAGGUUUGAAUCCUUCCGAGGUCA